UCCCGAAACUGCGCUGAGAUGGCCUACUUUUCUGUAGAUCACGUAACCCCCCAUCAUACAUCAUAUCGGUCUUUCUGUCGCAGGGACAAUUUCACUGUUUAUUUUCUGUUAAAACAACAGCGUUUCCAUUGGACAGCUUGUAUCACAGUCUACAAAUGUAACGUCGUAUGGCAUUCGAUCCACACACAAACCAUACAGAAACUCCGCCAGAUGUGCUUUGGAAGAGGGUGGUCGGGCUAAAGCGGGGUCUUGACCCGACCCGGUCGCUGGGAAUACUGUUGUUGCUGUUGAGCGCACCCAGGGGUUGAACGGGAGUCGCCUUGGACAGCUGGGAAAUCGACUUGAUUUUGGAUGCCGAGGUCCUUGUCCUCUGCUGGCGAAGAAAUCCCCAUCUUCAUUAAUUAAAACACAUUCCGCAACCUGCUAUCUACUGACUCAUACGAAUCACUGCUAAUGUAGUUGCAACUGUUUUCUCUGAAUUGCGAUGGAAAGUAAACAGCAGCCAAAUAAAAAAGGACUCGAGUCCCAUCA
Anguilla anguilla (European eel) is the source of this 531-nucleotide long non-coding RNA. RefSeq lists it as uncharacterized. NCBI's taxonomy places the organism in Eukaryota, Metazoa, Chordata, Actinopteri, Anguilliformes, Anguillidae. The record is from RefSeq and is a predicted model, not a curated record. The transcript has 2 exons.